UACGAAGGGGGCUAGCGUUGCUCGGAACCACUGGGCGUAAAGCGCACGUAGGCGGCUUUCUAAGUCAGGGGUGAAAUCCUGGAGCUCAACUCCAGAACUGCCUUUGAUACUGGAGAGCUUGAGUCCGGGAGAGGUGAGUGGAACUCCGAGUGUAGAGGUGAAAUUCGUAGAUAUUCGGAAGAACACCAGUGGCGAAGGCGGCUCACUGGCCCGGUACUGACGCUGAUGUGCGAAAGCGUGGGGAGCAAACAGG
RNAcentral lists this ribosomal RNA (253 nucleotides) under uncultured bacterium. Its description in RNAcentral is "partial 16S ribosomal RNA". It matches the Rfam family "Bacterial small subunit ribosomal RNA", at positions 524 to 776 of the family's 1533-position model. The record is from RNAcentral.